RNAcentral lists this unclassified non-coding RNA (324 nucleotides) under soil metagenome. Its description in RNAcentral is "partial contains 5.8S ribosomal RNA, internal transcribed spacer 2, and large subunit ribosomal RNA". The stretch from base 1 to 120 matches the Rfam family "5.8S ribosomal RNA", at positions 35 to 154 of the family's 154-position model. The record is from RNAcentral.
GAUGAAGAACGUAGCGAAAUGCGAUAAGUAAUGUGAAUUGCAGAAUUCCGUGAAUCAUCGAAUCUUUGAACGCACAUUGCGCCCUGUGGUAUUCCGCAGGGCAUGCCUGUUCGAGCGUCAUUUCAACCCUCAAGCCCCGCUUGGUGUUGGGCCCCGCCCGCCGUGGCCGGCCCUAAAGACAGUGGCGGCGCCGACUGGCCCUCAGCGUAGUACAGCUCUCGCUCCAGGGUCCGGCGGCCGCCUGCCAGAACCCCCCAACUCUGUGGUUGACCUCGGAUCAGGUAGGGAUACCCGCUGAACUUAAGCAUAUCAAUAAGCGGAGGA